This 222-nucleotide non-coding RNA is filed under the name Domibacillus enclensis. RNAcentral's name for it is "T-box sequence". It matches the Rfam family "T-box leader". From Rfam's summary of the family: Uncharged tRNA acts as the effector for transcription antitermination of genes in the T-box leader family. T-boxes are found upstream of many aminoacyl-tRNA synthetase genes and some amino acid biosynthetic genes usually in Gram-positive bacteria. Lineage: Bacteria; Bacillati; Bacillota; Bacilli; Caryophanales; Bacillaceae. The record is from RNAcentral.
UGAAACGCUUCGACUGGGAGCAUUAAGGAUUUGUGAUUGUCAUAGAGAGCUGCCGCUUCGGUGAAAGGCAGUCAAUCGCUUCCCCAACUCGCCCAUGAGCGGCAAAGCUGAACUGAAGUAAGCUUUGACGGACGCCCCGUAAUCAGCCUUCAAGCGGGUUUAUGUGUAUACAUCAGCCAAUGAGAGUGGUACCACGGAAGGUUAACGCCUGUCGUCUCUUUU